This is an RNA transcript of Heterocephalus glaber (naked mole-rat), 2616 nucleotides long. It is a transcript of the gene named RUN and FYVE domain containing 1, with no coding region annotated. Lineage: Eukaryota; Metazoa; Chordata; Mammalia; Rodentia; Bathyergidae. The record is from RefSeq and is a predicted model, not a curated record.
GGACGGCGGCCCGGCGGGGCCGGCGCUGGGGCGGGAGCGCGGCUCAGGGCCCGACUCAGGCCCGGCGCUGGACGAAGACUUCGAGAUCGUAGAGCGGAGCCAGCUGCCGAGCCCGGGCGAGCUGCGGAGCGCGACGAGGCCCCGCACGACGCCCGAGUGGUCGGCGCCCAUCCUGACGCUGGCCCGCAGGGCCACCGGGAGCCUGACGGCGAGCUGUGGGAGCGCGCUGCGCGCGGCCGCGGGGCUGGGCGACGGCGGCGGAGACGGUGCGGCGCGCGCAGCUUCCAGAAGCCAGAUGAUGGAGGAGCGCUCCAACCUGAUGCACAUGAUGAAACUGAGCAUCAAGGUCUUGCUCCAGUCGGCCCUGAGCCUGGGCCGCAGCCUGGACGCGGACCACGCCCCCUUGCAGCAGUUCUUUGUGGUGAUGGAGCACUGCCUCAAACACGGGCUGAAAGUUAAGAAGAGUUUUAUUGGCCAAAAUAAAUCUUUCUUUGGUCCUUUGGAGCUGGUGGAGAAACUUUGUCCAGAAGCAUCAGAUAUAGCUACUAGUGUCAGAAAUCUGCCAGAACUAAAGACGGCCGUGGGGAGAGGCCGAGCCUGGCUCUACCUUGCCCUCAUGCAGAAGACGCUGGCAGAUUAUCUGAAAGUGCUGGUAGACAAUAAGCAUCUCCUAAGCGAGUUCUACGAGCCUGAGGCCCUGAUGAUGCAGGAAGAGGGCGUGGUGAUCGUCGGUCUGCUGGUGGGACUCAAUGUGCUCGAUGCCAACCUCUGCCUAAAGGGAGAAGACUUGGAUUCCCAGGUUGGAGUAAUCGAUUUUUCCCUCUACCUUAAAGACGUGCAGGAUCCUGAUGGUGGCAGAGAGCACGAAAGAAUUACUGAUGUCCUUGAUCAAAAAAAUUACGUGGAAGAACUGAACCGGCACUUAAGCUGUACAGUUGGGGAUCUUCAGACCAAGAUAGAUGGCUUGGAAAAGAUGAAUUCAAAGCUUCAAGAAGAGCUUUCAGCUGCAACAGACCGGAUCUGUUCACUUCAAGAAGAACAGCAGCAAUUAAGAGAACAGAAUGAACUAAUUCGAGAGAGAAGUGAGAAGAGUGUGGAGAUAACCAAACAGGACACCAGAGUUGAGCUGGAGACUUACAAGCAGACCCGGCAAGGUCUGGACGAGAUGUACAGCGAUGUGUGGAAGCAGCUGAAGGAGGAGGAGAAAGUGCGGCGGGAACUGGAAAAAGAACUGGAGUUACAAAUUGGAAUGAAAACUGAAAUGGAGAUCGCCAUGAAGCUGCUGGAGAAGGACACCCAUGAGAAACAGGACACCCUGGUGGCCCUGCGGCAGCAGCUGGAGGAGGUCAAGGCGAUUAAUCUGCAGAUGUUCCACAAAGCCCAGAACGCAGAGAGCAGUUUACAGCAGAAGAACGAAGCCAUCGCAUCUUUUGAAGGAAAAACCAAUCAAGUUCUGUCCACCAUGAAGCAGAUGGAAGAGCGGUUACAGCACUCGGAAAGGGCGAGGCAGGGAGCCGAGGAGCGAAGCCACAAGCUGCAGCAGGAGCUCGGUGGGAGGGUCAGCGCCCUGCAGCUGCAGCUGUCCCAGCUGCAUGAGCAAUGUUCAAGUUUAGAGAAAGAGCUGAAAUCAGAAAAAGAGCAGAGACAAGCUCUUCAGCAAGAAUUACAGCAUGAGAAGGACACCUCCUCUCUGCUGCGGACAGAGCUACAACAAGUCCAAGGACUAAAGAAGGAGCUGCUGGAGCUCCAGGAGGAGAAGACAGAGUUACAGAAGGUCUGUGAUGAGCAGGAACAAGCCCUCCAGGAAAUGGGUCUGCAUCUCAGCCAGUCCAAGCUGAAGAUGGAAGACAUAAAGGAAGUAAACAAGGCCCUGAAGCCUGUUACCUGGGGGAAGGAGCUAAGCUGCUCCCAGGGUGCGUGUGGCUUGUCUCCCCACAACGGGCCAGGUGUCGGGGUGUCCAGCCUCAGGGCCACACCUGGCUGAAAGACGACGAAGCGACACACUGCAAGCAGUGUGAAAAGGAGUUUUCCAUUUCCCGGAGAAAGCACCACUGCCGAAACUGCGGCCACAUAUUCUGCAACACCUGCUCCGGCAGCGAGCUGGCCCUGCCCUCCUACCCGAAGCCGGUGCGCGUGUGUGACAGCUGCCACACCCUGCUGCUGCACCGCUGCUCCUCCACUGCCUCCUGAGGCCCCCUGCCCGCUGCCUCUGGUGCAAUGAACUCUGGUCUGCAGGGAUCCCCAGGGGCCUGGGCAGUGCUCCCCAGGAAAGCCAAGGGCCUGGAAGAUGACAGAGCAGAGCGCACCCGCCUCCUUGGGGCUUGUGUGGAGCACACUCCUGGGCUGCGUGGCUCCCUCGGCAUUGGUCGCUGCAGCUUGGCCCCUGCACCGGCUCUGGUCCCAAUCGUCUUGCUGUCACUUUUCAGAGAAUUACCCUAUUUUGCAGCAGGUAUCCUAGCGCAUCAAGCUCUCUUCCCUACCCUGUCACAGCUUGAAGGCGUGCAGUGCUUUAUAGCACAACUGGUCUGUCAGUGCCUUGUCUGUCUCAGUGGCAAGAUUUGACCUGUGUUGCUGAGGCCUUGUGCCAGGCCCUGAAAUAAAAACUUUUAUUUUUCA